GGUUCCUACGGGGCGCAGCAGUAGGGAAUUUUCGUCAAUGGGCGCAAGCCUGAACGAGCAAUGCCGCGUGAACGAGGAAGGUCUUCGGAUCGUAAAGUUCUGUUGAAGGGGAAAAAGAGCGGAGAGAGGAAAUGGUCUCCGAUUGAUAUUACCCUUCGAGGAAGUCACGGCUAACUACGUGCCAGCAGCCGCGGCAAUACGUAGGUGGCGAGCGUUAUCCGGAAUGAUUGGGCGUAAAGGGUGCGUAGGCGGCCUGCUAAGUCUGGAGUGAAAGGUACCGGCUCAACCCCGGGACUGCAUUGGAA
RNAcentral lists this ribosomal RNA (305 nucleotides) under uncultured bacterium. RNAcentral describes it as "bacterial SSU rRNA". It matches the Rfam family "Bacterial small subunit ribosomal RNA", at positions 334 to 631 of the family's 1533-position model. The record is from RNAcentral.